AUGAACGCUGGCGGCGUGCCUAAUACAUGCCAGUCGCGCGAACAGACGAGGAGCUUGCUCCUCUGACGUUAGCGGCGGACGGGUGAGUAACACGUGGAUAACCUACCUAUAAGACUGGGAUAACUUCGGGAAACCGGAGCUAAUACCGGAUAAUAUAUUGAACCGCAUGGUUCAAUAGUGAAAGACGGUUUUGCUGUCACUUAUAGAUGGAUCCGCGCCGCAUUAGCUAGUUGGUAAGGUAACGGCUUACCAAGGCAACGAUGCGUAGCCGACCUGAGAGGGUGAUCGGCCACACUGGAACUGAGACACGGUCCAGACUCCUACGGGAGGCAGCAGUAGGGAAUCUUCCGCAAUGGGCGAAAGCCUGACGGAGCAACGCCGCGUGAGUGAUGAAGGUCUUCGGAUCGUAAAACUCUGUUAUUAGGGAAGAACAAGUGUGUAAGUAACUAUGCACGUCUUGACGGUACCUAAUCAGAAAGCCACGGCUAACUACGUG
RNAcentral lists this ribosomal RNA (496 nucleotides) under uncultured bacterium. RNAcentral describes it as "partial 16S ribosomal RNA". It matches the Rfam family "Bacterial small subunit ribosomal RNA", at positions 29 to 507 of the family's 1533-position model. The record is from RNAcentral.